CCUACGGGAAGGCAGCAGUAGGGAAUAUUGGACAAUGGGCGCAAGCCUGAUCCAGCCAUGCCGCGUGAGUGAUGAAGGCCUUCGGGUUGUAAAGCUCUUUUGUCCGGAAAGAAAAGCUUCGGGUCAAUACCCCGGAGUCCUGACGGUACCGGAAGAAUAAGCACCGGCUAACUUCGUGCCAGCAGCCGCGGUAAUACGAAGGGUGCAAGCGUUACUCGGAAUUACUGGGCGUAAAGCGUGCGUAGGCGGUUUGUUAAGUCUGAUGUGAAAGCCCUGGGCUCAACCUGGGAAUGGCAUUGGAUACUGGCAGGCUAGAGUGCGGUAGAGGGUAGUGGAAUUCCCGGUGUAGCAGUGAAAUGCGUAGAGAUCGGGAGGAACAUCUGUGGCGAAGGCGACUACCUGGACCAGCACUGACACUGAGGCACGAAAGCGUGGGGAGCAAACAGGAUUAGAUACCCUGGUAGA
RNAcentral lists this ribosomal RNA (465 nucleotides) under uncultured bacterium. RNAcentral describes it as "bacterial SSU rRNA". It matches the Rfam family "Bacterial small subunit ribosomal RNA", at positions 338 to 794 of the family's 1533-position model. The record is from RNAcentral.